This 380-nucleotide ribosomal RNA is filed under the name uncultured organism. RNAcentral describes it as "bacterial SSU rRNA". It matches the Rfam family "Bacterial small subunit ribosomal RNA", at positions 518 to 896 of the family's 1533-position model. The record is from RNAcentral.
CGGUAGGGUGCGAGUCGUUAAGUCGGAAAUUACGUGGGACGUAAAGCGUGCGCAGGUCGGUUUUGUAAGACAGAUGUGAAACUCCCCGGGCUCAACCGUGGGACCUGCUAUUUGUGACUGCAAGGCUAGAGUACGGUAGAGGGGGAUGGAAUUCCGCGUGUAGCAGUGAAAUGCGUAGAUAUGCGGAGGAACACCGAUGGCGAAGGCAAUCCCCUGGACCUGUACUGACGCUCAUGCACGAAAGCGUGGGGAGCAAACAGGAUUAGAUACCCUGGUAGUCCACGCCCUAAACGAUGUCAACUGGUUGUUGGGUCUUUACUGACUCAGUAACGAAGCUAACGCGUGAAGUUGACCGCCUGGGGAGUACGGCCGCAGGGUUG